This 632-nucleotide ribosomal RNA is filed under the name Bacillus sp. PA2. RNAcentral describes it as "bacterial SSU rRNA". It matches the Rfam family "Bacterial small subunit ribosomal RNA", at positions 48 to 660 of the family's 1533-position model. Lineage: Bacteria; Bacillati; Bacillota; Bacilli; Caryophanales; Bacillaceae. The record is from RNAcentral.
ACUAUACAUGCAGUCGAGCGGACUUUCAUUGGUGCUUGCACCUUUGAAAGUUAGCGGCGGACGGGUGAGUAACACGUGGGUAACCUACCCUGUAGAUUGGGAUAACUCCGGGAAACCGGGGCUAAUACCGAAUAACACUUUUGACCUCAUGGUCGAAUGUUAAAAGACGGUUUCGGCUGUCACUACAGGAUGGGCCCGCGGCGCAUUAGCUAGUUGGUGAGGUAACGGCUCACCAAGGCAACGAUGCGUAGCCGACCUGAGAGGGUGAUCGGCCACACUGGGACUGAGACACGGCCCAGACUCCUACGGGAGGCAGCAGUAGGGAAUCUUCCACAAUGGACGAAAGUCUGAUGGAGCAACGCCGCGUGAGUGAAGAAGGAUUUCGGUUCGUAAAACUCUGUUGCAAGGGAAGAACAAGUAGCGUAGUAACUGGCGCUACCUUGACGGUACCUUGUUAGAAAGCCACGGCUAACUACGUGCCAGCAGCCGCGGUAAUACGUAGGUGGCAAGCGUUGUCCGGAAUUAUUGGGCGUAAAGCGCGCGCAGGUGGUUUCUUAAGUCUGAUGUGAAAGCCCACGGCUCAACCGUGGAGGGUCAUUGGAAACUGGGAAACUUGAGUGCAGAAGAGGAUA